RNAcentral lists this ribosomal RNA (264 nucleotides) under uncultured bacterium. Its description in RNAcentral is "partial 16S ribosomal RNA". It matches the Rfam family "Bacterial small subunit ribosomal RNA", at positions 90 to 354 of the family's 1533-position model. The record is from RNAcentral.
UUCGAGUGGCGGACGGGUGAGUAACGCGUGGGUAACCUGCCUUACACAGGGGGAUAACACCUGGAAACAGGUGCUAAUACCGCAUAAGCGCACAGGGCCGCAUGGCCCGGUGUGAAAAACUCCGGUGGUGUAAGAUGGACCCGCGUCUGAUUAGCUUGUUGGCGGGGUAGGGGCCCACCAAGGCGACGAUCAGUAGCCGGACUGAGAGGUUGGCCGGCCACAUUGGGACUGAGAUACGGCCCAGACUCCUACGGAAGGCAGCAG